AGGACGAACGCUGGCGGCGUGCCUAAUACAUGCAAGUCGAACGGUCUUUCUAUGGAAGCUUGCUUCCACUGAGAAGAUAGUGGCGAACGGGUGAGUAACACGUGGGUAACCUGCCCAUAAGAGGGGGAUAACAUCCGGAAACGGGUGCUAAUACCGCAUAGUUUUCUUGAUCGCAUGAUUGAGAAAGGAAAGACGGCCUUUGUGCUGUCGCUUAUGGAUGGACCCGCGGCGUAUUAGUUAGUUGGUGAGGUAACGGCUCACCAAGACGAUGAUACGUAGCCGACCUGAGAGGGUGAUCGGCCACAUUGGGACUGAGACACGGCCCAAACUCCUACGGGAGGCAGCAGUAGGGAAUCUUCCGCAAUGGACGAAAGUCUGACGGAGCAACGCCGCGUGAGUGAAGAAAAGGUUUUCGGAUCGUAAAACUCUGUUGUCAGAGAAGAACAAGUUGGAGAGUAACUGCUCCAGCCUUGACGGUAUCUGACCAGAAAGCCACGGCUAACUACGUGCCAGCAGCGGC
Molecule: ribosomal RNA, 520 nt
Filed under: uncultured bacterium
Lineage: Bacteria
Description: bacterial SSU rRNA
Rfam family: Bacterial small subunit ribosomal RNA
Source: RNAcentral